RNAcentral lists this ribosomal RNA (443 nucleotides) under uncultured bacterium. RNAcentral's name for it is "bacterial SSU rRNA". It matches the Rfam family "Bacterial small subunit ribosomal RNA", at positions 958 to 1400 of the family's 1533-position model. The record is from RNAcentral.
AACGCGAAGAACCUUACCUGGGCUCGAAGCGCAGUGGAUAUGGGUGGAAACAUCCCUUUCUCGCAAGAGACUGCUGCGGAGGUGCUGCAUGGCUGUCGUCAGCUCGUGUCGUGAGAUGUUGGGUUAAGUCCCGCAACGAGCGCAACCCUUAUCGUUAGUUGCCAGCGAGUCAAGUCGGGCACUCUAGCGAAACCGCCUCGGAUAACGGGGAGGAAGGUGGGGAUGACGUCAAGUCCUCAUGGCCUUUAUGUCCAGGGCUACACACGUGCUACAAUGGCCGGUACAAACCGUCGCAAACUCGCGAGAGGGAGCUAAUCGGAAAAAGCCGGCCUCAGUUCGGAUUGGAGUCUGCAACUCGACUCCAUGAAGCUGGAAUCGCUAGUAAUGCUAUAUCAGAACGAUAGCGUGAAUACGUUCCCGGGCCUUGUACACACCGUAGAGAC